CAGCCGCCGCGGUAAUACCCGCAGCCCGAGUGGUGGUCGAUUAUAUUGAGUCUAAAACGUUCGUAGCCGGUCUGAUAGAUCCUUGGGUAAAUCGGGCUGCUUAACAGUCCGAAGUCCGAGGAGACCGUCAGGCUUGGGAUCGGGAGAGGUAAGAGGUACUUCAGGGGUAGGGGUAAAAUCCUGUAAUCCUUGGAGGACCACCGGUGGCGAAGGCGUCUUACUAGAACGAAUCCGACGGUGAGGGACGAAGCCCUAGGUCGCAAACGGGAUUAGAUACCCCGGUAGUCUAGGGUGUAAACGCUGCAGACUUGGUGUUGGAGGUCCUACGGGGACAUUCAGUGCCGGAGAGAAGUUGUUAAGUCUGCUACUUGGGGAGUACGUCCGCAAGGAUGAAACUUAAAGGAAUUGGCGGGGGAGCACCGCAACGGGAGGAGCGUGCGGUUUAAUUGGAUUCAACACCGGAAAACUCACCAAGGGAGACCAUCACAUGAAAGCCAGGCUAAUGACUUUGCUCGAUUCUUGGAGAGGAGGUGCAUGGCC
This 540-nucleotide ribosomal RNA is filed under the name uncultured archaeon. RNAcentral describes it as "bacterial SSU rRNA". It matches the Rfam family "Archaeal small subunit ribosomal RNA", at positions 459 to 999 of the family's 1478-position model. The record is from RNAcentral.